Molecule: transfer-messenger RNA, 342 nt
Filed under: Veillonella sp.
Lineage: Bacteria; Bacillati; Bacillota; Negativicutes; Veillonellales; Veillonellaceae
Also listed under: 1 other name
Description: transfer-messenger RNA, SsrA
Rfam family: transfer-messenger RNA
About the family: Bacterial tmRNA, also known as 10Sa RNA or SsrA, is named for its dual tRNA and mRNA-like properties. Its role is to liberate the mRNA from a stalled ribosome.
Source: RNAcentral
GGGGAUGUAAUGGUUUCGACAGGGGUGCGUGUGGUAUAGAUAGCGGGUCGGCGUCCCAAAAGGCCGUAAAACUUUGGAAAAACAUUUAAACGCAAAAGAAAACUUUGCAUUAGCUGCAUAAGCUACGCUCUUCAUCCUUGCGCCUGACAGGGGUGAAAGGGCGUCAAACCUCAGGCUGGUCUAAGUUGGCUGUUUCACCGGCUUAGGCGAGAUAAAAGAAACUGGGAUAUUUUAGUUUGUCGUUGUACGAACAAUAUCUGAGACUUUAAACAGCGACUGCACUCGGAGAAGUCUAUAUGGCAACACUUUUGGACAGGAGUUCGAUUCUCCUCAUCUCCACCA